AUAGCGUAUAUUAAAGUUGUUGCAGUUAAAAAGCUCGUAGUUGAAUUUUGGACCUGGCUGGGUGGUCUUGCCGUAAGGUUAGCACUGCUCUGGUCGGGUCUUUCCUUCUGGGGAACCUGUGUGCUCUUAAUUGAGUGCGCAGGGGAUCCAGGACUUUUACUUUGAAAAAAUUAGAGUGUUUAAAGCAGGCUUACGCUUGAAUACAUUAGCAUGGAAUAAUAGAAUAGGACUUUGGUUCUAUUUUGUUGGUUUCUAGGACCGAAGUAAUGAUUAAUAGGGAUAGUUGGGGGCAUUAGUAUUUAAUUGUCAGAGGUGAAAUUCUUGGAUUUAUGAAAGACUAACUUCUG
RNAcentral lists this ribosomal RNA (347 nucleotides) under uncultured eukaryote. Its description in RNAcentral is "SSU rRNA". It matches the Rfam family "Eukaryotic small subunit ribosomal RNA", at positions 594 to 945 of the family's 1831-position model. The record is from RNAcentral.